CCUACGGGAGGCAGCAGUGGGGAAUAUUGCACAAUGGGGGGAACCCUGAUGCAGCGACGCCGCGUGAGUGAAGAAGUAUUUCGGUAUGUAAAGCUCUAUCAGCAGGGAAGAAAAUGACGGUACCUGACUAAGAAGCCCCGGCUAACUACGUGCCAGCAGCCGCGGGAAUACGUAGGGGGCAAGCGUUAUCCGGAUUUACUGGGUGUAAAGGGAGCGCGGAGGGCUGUGCAAGUCUGGAGUGAAAGGCGGGGGCCCAACCACCGGACUGCUCUGGAAACUGUAAAGCAGGAGUGCAGGAGAGGUAAGCGGAAGUCCUAGUGUAGCGGUGAAAUGCGUAGAUAUUAGGAGGAACACCAGUGGCGAAGGCGGCUUACUGGACUGCAACUGACGUUGAGGCUCGAAAGCGUGGGAGCAAACAGGAUUAGAUACCCGGGUAGUC
RNAcentral lists this ribosomal RNA (439 nucleotides) under uncultured bacterium. RNAcentral's name for it is "partial 16S ribosomal RNA". It matches the Rfam family "Bacterial small subunit ribosomal RNA", at positions 338 to 795 of the family's 1533-position model. The record is from RNAcentral.